This 159-nucleotide ribosomal RNA is filed under the name uncultured bacterium. RNAcentral describes it as "partial 16S ribosomal RNA". It matches the Rfam family "Bacterial small subunit ribosomal RNA", at positions 333 to 492 of the family's 1533-position model. The record is from RNAcentral.
ACGGUCCUACGGGAGGCAGCAGUGAGGAAUAUUGGUCAAUGGACGGAAGUCUGAACCAGCCAUGCCGCGUGCAGGAAGACGGCCCUAUGGGUUGUAAACUGCUUUUAUACGGGAAGAAACCUCUCUACGUGUAGAGACUUGACGGUACCGUAGAUAGUU